RNAcentral lists this ribosomal RNA (500 nucleotides) under uncultured bacterium. RNAcentral describes it as "partial 16S ribosomal RNA". It matches the Rfam family "Bacterial small subunit ribosomal RNA", at positions 30 to 523 of the family's 1533-position model. The record is from RNAcentral.
AUUGAACGCUGGCGGCAUGCCUUACACAUGCAAGUCGAACGGCAGCACGGGAGCAAUCCUGGUGGCGAGUGGCGAACGGGUGAGUAAUAUAUCGGAACGUGCCCAGUCGUGGGGGAUAACGCAGCGAAAGCUGUGCUAAUACCGCAUACGAUCUACGGAUGAAAGCGGGGGAUCGCAAGACCUCGCGCGAUUGGAGCGGCCGAUAUCAGAUUAGCUAGUUGGUGAGGUAAAGGCUCACCAAGGCGACGAUCUGUAGCUGGUCUGAGAGGACGACCAGCCUCACUGGAACUGAGACACGGUCCAGACUCCUACGGGAGGCGGCAGUGGGGAAUUUUGGACAAUGGGCGAAAGCCUGAUCCAGCAAUGCCGCGUGCAGGAUGAAGGCCUUCGGGUUGUAAACUGCUUUUGUACGGAACGAAACGGUGAGCUCUAAUACAGUUUGCUAAUGACGGUACCGUAAGAAUAAGCACCGGCUAACUACGUGCCAGCCGCCGCAGUAA